CGGAUCCGCAUGGAUAUGUUGUUAAAGGUUUACCGCUUGGGAUAGGCUUGCGUCUGAUUAGUUAGUUGGUGUGGUAACGGCACACCAAGGCUACGAUCAGUAACUGGUCUGAGAGGAUGAUCAGUCACACUGGAACUGAGACACGGUCCAGACUCCUACGGGAGGCAGCAGUGAGGAAUAUUGGGCAAUGCUCGAAAGAGUGACCCAGCAACGCCGCGUGGAGGAUGAAGGUAUUCUAUAUUCGUAAACUCCUGUGAGAGCAGACGAAAGACAGAUUAUUAAUCUGGAUGACUGUAUGCUCAGAGGAAGCCCCGGCUAACUACGUG
This 326-nucleotide ribosomal RNA is filed under the name uncultured bacterium. RNAcentral's name for it is "bacterial SSU rRNA". It matches the Rfam family "Bacterial small subunit ribosomal RNA", at positions 181 to 507 of the family's 1533-position model. The record is from RNAcentral.